This 482-nucleotide ribosomal RNA is filed under the name uncultured bacterium. Its description in RNAcentral is "partial 16S ribosomal RNA". It matches the Rfam family "Bacterial small subunit ribosomal RNA", at positions 30 to 507 of the family's 1533-position model. The record is from RNAcentral.
AUUGAACGCUGGCGGCAUGCUUUACACAUGCAAGUCGAACGGUAACAGGCCGCAAGGUGCUGACGAGUGGCGAACGGGUGAGUAAUGCAUCGGAACGUGCCCAGUCGUGGGGGAUAACUACUCGAAAGAGUAGCUAAUACCGCAUAAGAUCUAUGGAUGAAAGCGGGGGACCGUAAGGCCUCGCGCGAUUGGAGCGGCCGAUGUCAGAUUAGGUAGUUGGUGGGGUAAAGGCUCACCAAGCCAACGAUCUGUAGCUGGUCUGAGAGGACGACCAGCCACACUGGGACUGAGACACGGCCCAGACUCCUACGGGAGGCAGCAGUGGGGAAUUUUGGACAAUGGGCGCAAGCCUGAUCCAGCAAUGCCGCGUGCAGGAAGAAGGCCUUCGGGUUGUAAACUGCUUUUGUACGGAACGAAACGGUUCUGGUUAAUACCCGGGGCUAAUGACGGUACCGUAAGAAUAAGCACCGGCUAACUACGUG